Cyprinus carpio carpio is the source of this 2225-nucleotide long non-coding RNA. Lineage: Eukaryota; Metazoa; Chordata; Actinopteri; Cypriniformes; Cyprinidae. The record is from Ensembl.
UCUUUAUGAUGACAUACUUUACUAGCCACUUCUCAAGGUGCAAACAGGAAAUAAGCUGCUCUGGUCAUGUUACAAUUUGCACUAAUCAUGUGAAACUGCACAUAUUUAAUUGAGACACUUUAUUUUUUCCAUAUUUGCAGGAAGUGCACUAAAACAUCAGUCAGUAAGGUUUUCAGAGCUUUAUAAAUGGAAACCUUUUUUACGGUCACUAUUGUGACCGGUGGGAUUAAACGGGUUAAUGGUAUUAUUCAAAUAAAAAUAAUCAGUCGUCUGCUGGAACAUUCCGGUGUCCUGGCGGACAUUUUAUUCUACCAAAAUCGCAUGUUCCACACAUGAUUACGAGAGACACGGCUGUGUUUAGGACCUGAAGGACGCGGCGUCACUGCAGGGAUCCUCUGCUCUCAGGCUGUUUACCAGCUCACAGCUCAAAACAAGAGCACGACUGAGCUCUGGUUUGGUGGACUGUUGGUCUGUUGUUGAAGAGUGUAUAACAUCUAAUGGAGAGGACUAUAGGGGAAUUCAACAGACGACAUCCACAGGGAAUAUCUGCCUCAACUGGAAGAGUCUGAACUCACAGACAGAUGUUGGAGAUCACAAUUUCUGCCGCAACCCAGAUGCUUCAGAGAAGCCCUGGUGCUAUGUCUCCGGGUCCGAUGGAGCGACCAGAAAAGAAGCAUGUGAUAUUAGGACAUGCCAAGACCAAAACUCCACAGAAGCCACUGCUCCAGAAGAGUCGGUCCCCACUCAGGGACUCACCCCAAGGAUGGUGGAGACCUUCGAAAACACUGACUCCUUCCCCUCGCAGGUGGAGGGUGCGGCGGUGCAGCCCGUGAAGGGAGUCCGACAGCAGGUCAGGAGUGGACCCAAGAAGAAGAAAGACCUUGGGACUCUCGGUUAUGUUCUGGCCGUCUUCAUGAUGGCCAUUAUCAUCCUACUUGGAGGUGGCAUCACAAUAGGAUACUUCUACAAACGGGGUCGUGACCUCAAGAAACAGCACGAGCAGCGGGUUUACGAGCGUGAGAUGCAUCGCAUCACUCUUCCACUCUCAGCCUUUGCCAACCCCACCUGCGAGCUGGUGGAUGAGAACACCAUCGUCAUCACAGCUCAACCCAACAACCAGACCCCCACUCAGGAGCCCGUCGAGGGGGCCGACCCGCUUAUGGGGACAGCAGGGACCCCUGGAGCCUGAUGGAGGAACAGGAUGAGCGCCUGGAAAGGCGUCUUUGUUAAGACAUGUCUAUGCAGUAUUGCAGAAUCUCAGAGGACUAAACCCCAUGUCCACCUUCCCUCUGCCUGUCGUCUCUUUUCUCUUUACCUUGCCUUUACAGCACGGUUUCACAGUAAAGGUAGGGCAUAUGCCUUGAGAGAGUGGUGGAAAGCAUUUUUUGUCCCAGACAGUGUCCUUAUUUUCUCAACAAAGUUGUUGGGGAAAGUAGGACAUGUGGGGAUACACUGGAAGAAGGUGAAAUGGUGGGUUUGUAUUAAUAUGCAUGUCAGGGAUUCCCGUGGAGAAAAAUUGCAAGUACGUUUUGUGAGCAUCAUCACAGGGCAUGAACUUUCCCUGCUUGUUAAACUCCAACGAGACGGCGACUGUCCAGUUAACUGUGCCGUGUCCUCUGGAUCAGAUCAUCAGAUGUUCUGGGGUUUUGAAAGAGAAGACAAUCCACUCUUAUCUUCUUUCCUGCCUUUUCUGUUGUUUUUGUUCCUAACGCAGUUGUGGUGGAGAGUUGAGACUGAAAUUGUACAUGUGUAUCUGAAUUUGUUGCUCUACAGCUGGGCUGUUUAUUCUUUAGGGAGAUUUGGUUAGCAACUAGAGCUAAUUGAGUUAAUUGCCUUUGAUAGCUCUUCCCCAGAAAUCCAUAUUCAUUAGGCAGAUCAUGUGGCCUGGGAUGCUAGCGCUAAGCUAGGUGAAGGUUUUGACUAAAUGAAGAGGAAAUCUUUCCAGAGAUCUUGCCUUAGUAAAUUACAUUUGAAUGUAUUGUUGCUCCUGUGGCCACAGUCUGAUGAAGAGCAAGUGAGCGCUGUCAUGACUUCAGCAAACCAGUCAGAGUGGGUCUCUGGGUACAUUUACUGUAUCCGUGUUCAUUUGUUCCUGAACAUACAGAUGGUCUGAAAUAGGACAUAGUUUGAAGCUUGAACCUGAAACUGAGAGUGUGUUCAAGAUGACGUAUUAAAGUAAUGUAUUAUGGUUUUAUUUAACAGAGAUGGGAUUUUUUUGAUGAAUG